UAACUGGGGCUAAGUCGUAACAAGGUAGCCGUACCGGAAGGUGCGGCUGGAACACCUCCUUU
Ribosomal RNA from Porphyromonas sp., 62 nucleotides. It matches the Rfam family "Bacterial small subunit ribosomal RNA", at positions 1472 to 1533 of the family's 1533-position model. Lineage: Bacteria; Pseudomonadati; Bacteroidota; Bacteroidia; Bacteroidales; Porphyromonadaceae. The record is from Rfam.